Non-coding RNA from Vicugna pacos (alpaca), 2596 nucleotides. Lineage: Eukaryota; Metazoa; Chordata; Mammalia; Artiodactyla; Camelidae. The record is from RefSeq and is a predicted model, not a curated record.
UGGUCUGACAGGAAAGAGGGUGUGUCGAAUAACCAAAAAUUCCUAUAAAGUCUGAGGAGGUGGGAGAGAAGUAGAGGAUGAGGCAUGAGUUAAAAGAAAUAAAACAACCAGAAAUACUACUGUCACCACCAGUCCCUCCUCCAACUGUCUGCCACAGAAAUGGCUGUGAGGGAAAGCAGGUACCACCUGGACGUUGGAGAGGAUCAGGAGCCCCCUUCUUCCACGUGUGGAGCGCUCCCUGCCCUCCCUUGGCUCUCACAGCUGUCCCCAGCCCUGACUCUGCGGCCUGGGUCAGAUGAGCUCAGCCUCCUUUGAUCUCCUCCCCUGCAAGGUCAGCAGCUCCCCCCAGGGCCUUCUCCCAGGUCCCAGCUCAGCCUUCACAUCUGCCAGGGCCUCGGAAACUGGGAGGCUGAGGAAGAAGGCAAGAGCAGGCUGUGGCAGGGGGGUGGGCUGGCUGUUUUUCCAUAGUGUCUGCCACAACCAAAGGGUCCUGUUUUCACCUGGUCAUUGUGGGGAAGGCAGGCAGGGGUGCUGGGGUGCCCGGGCGCCAGGGAGAGAAGGUCGUGCUGUGGCUCCUUACUCCUCUCCUGCAUCCUCAGUCAGGGACUGUGGCACAGGAAUCAUCAAGCGCUGGGACGGGAGGAACCACAGCAGGCAUCUCCUCCACGGGCCCCGGCCUGGGCCCUGGAUUCAGCAAGCGAGCCCUCCCGCCCACCUUCAGCCAUGGCCCAGAGAAAUUGCGUGAUGAGCUGAAAUAAUACAGUGGUAACUGCUUGGCCAGCCCAGACUUGGGUCUCCUGCCCUCAGCUCAUUUCCCUGGUGACUGAACCACUCAAAGAAGAAGAAGCAGGACCACAGCAUGCGUGAGGCUGAUGGGAGUGGAUUUGCUCCUCUCCAGCCUCCCAGACUCUCACAGUGGCUGUUAUGCCAGGUGGGAACUGAGGCCCAGAAGGCCCCGUUGGUUUCCCAAAGGAACCAAGGUAUAUGCCUUUUCAGGUUUGGAGCAGACGACUGAAUGAGUUUUGAGAUAAUGCACUGUGAGUAUUUCCUUCUGAGCCAAUGAGACUGACAAAGCCUUGUAUGCACCUCACAGGUUUGUACAGCUGCAUGCUGAGUGCCCCAAUCCCUAGAGCUAAGAAUCCUGGAAAUUAUUAAUUUUUUUAAAGAAAAGAGAGAAGAAAAGAAGAAAAGGACAAAAGAAAGAAAAAGAAAGAAAAAAAAGAAAAAAUAUAUAUAGAAACAUGAAAAAAAGAAAAAAAUUUUUUGCCAAAUGGGGCAUAUGACCCUCACACCUGAAGAAUAAUCUGGAAAAUGAGAGGUAAAGAAGACAUGCGUUUGACCAGUUUCCACCAUAUGUCACAGCUAAACAUUGAGCUUUUAUGGGCAUUUUCAUCUGAUGAUUUUCUAAAAUGAACCAAAGGAAAGAGAAUGAAAACCCAGGAAGAAGACAGAAAGCCAGAAGCCUGCCACGGAAGGGGAUGUCUGGGAAAGCCAAACAACUGGGCAGGGAGAAGGCAGGACCUGGGCGAUGGAGAAGUUGCCACCAGCGUGGGGCCGGAGGGGUGGAUGCCAGGCCGCCCGCUCCCUCCUCCCAGAUGGCCCCACUCCACCCAAGCAUGGGCAACUCUGCCUGCACAUGGUGUUUUCUUUUUUCUCAAAUAAAAUAUCAUCACCUGAUCUUAGCUAAGUAACUGUGAACUUGUAAAAGUCUGUUUGUGGUUCCCCAGAGACUCAUUCAAGUGGUUUUUCAGAUGAAUUUGUUCAUUCAAACACUUCGCAGUGUUUCUCUAAUUGUUUCUCACAGUCCCGUUGUGAGGGGUAAUUAUUCCAGCGACCUCGCUCAGCCCUGUUGCAGGUGAGUAAACUGAGCCUGGUGAAAGCAGUGCCAUGAGAGGCAGAAACCACCCCGGAUCCAUCUGCCCCACCCUCAGACACUUGUGGGCAUUGUCCAAAUCUAGAAUCUUGUAGAACUCACAGACUGCAUGUUUCCAGCCAACCCCAGACCAUGAGACAGGCAUCUGUUUGGUUUGGCCAGGACACAGCAUCCUGUUGAUAACCAUUCCAUAAUUUUGCAACAUGUCAGCUGUGUCAGUGAAGCUAGUAUAUUUCAGUCUUAGAAAACUAGGAAUUCAAGAGACAGAAACUAAUAAGAACAGGGGUCCUAAGGAGUCUUUAAAGAUACUGCAAAUGUACAAGAAAAGCAUUUUGGGAAAUAGAUUUAGAAUUUAAUUCGAAUUCUUCUAACUAAUGGAAUAUAUUGCUCAGGAUUCUUCUCUGUCUCCCUUGGAAUUUAGUCCUGCAUGAAGAUCCUGGGAUGUAUUAUGAAUGAAUCAAUUAGCAUUAAAUAACAUUUUAUGUUAUAUGUUAUAACCUUGACAGAGACACUAAAAAAAGACUAAUUGUGUAAUUCAUAAUUCAUACCAAUCAGUGUUGAAACUCAAACAAUGCAAAAGUGGGAGACAAUAUCCAGUGAUUAACAAUUUCAUAGCUUCUGCACAUCUGAGAAAAGAGUGCUCAGUUGAAUUACAUCCUCCAUAAGCACGUUUUUAUAAGAGUUGUGCAUGUGCCUAUCUUAACAGUUGUCUUCUGUAUCUUG